GAUGAACGCUGGCGGCGUGCCUAAUACAUGCAAGUCGAACGCUGAGGGAGGAGCUUUCUCUUCUGGAUGAGUGGCGAACGGGUGAGUAACGCGUGAGUAACCUGCCUGUUAGCGGGGGAUAACUAUUGGAAACGAUAGCUAAUACCGCAUGACAACAGUUAUUGCAUGAUGACUGUUUGAAAGGUGCAGCUGCUCCGCUACCAGAUGGACCUUCUUUGUAUUAGCUAGUUGGUGAGGUAACGGCUCACCAAGGCGGCGAGACGUCGCCGACAGGGGAGGGGGGUCGGCCACACUGGGAGUGAGACCCGGCACAGAGGCACAGGGGAGGCAGCCGGAGGGAAUCGUGGGCAAUGGAUGGAAGUCUGACCGCGCAACGCCGCGUGAGGGAAGAAGGUUUUCGGAUCGUAAAGCUCUGUUGUAAGGGAAGAAAGAGUGUGAGAGUGGAACGUUCCCAGUGUGACGGUAUCUUAUCAGAAAGAGACGGCUAACUACGUG
RNAcentral lists this ribosomal RNA (495 nucleotides) under uncultured bacterium. Its description in RNAcentral is "partial 16S ribosomal RNA". It matches the Rfam family "Bacterial small subunit ribosomal RNA", at positions 28 to 507 of the family's 1533-position model. The record is from RNAcentral.